AUUGAACGCUGGCGGCACGCCUUACACAUGCAAGUCGAACGGUAACAGGUUAAGCUGACGAGUGGCGAACGGGUGAGUAAUAUAUCGGAACGUGCCCAGUCGUGGGGGAUAACGUAGCGAAAGCUACGCUAAUACCGCGUACGAUCUACGGAUGAAAGCGGGGGAUCGCAAGACCUCGCGCGAUUGGAGCGGCCGAUAUCAGAUUAGGUAGUUGGUGGGGUAAAGGCUCACCAAGCCAACGAUCUGUAGCUGGUCUGAGAGGACGACCAGUCACACUGGAACUGAGACACGGUCCAGACUCCUACGGGAGGCAGCAGUGGGGAAUUUUGGACAAUGGACGCAAGUCUGAUCCAGCCAUUCCGCGUGCAGGAUGAAGGCCCUCGGGUUGUAAACUGCUUUUGUACGGAACGAAAAGGUCUCUCUUAAUACGGGGGGCUCAUGACGGUACCGUAAGAAUAAGCACCGGCUAACUACGUGCCAGCCGCCGCAGUAA
This 493-nucleotide ribosomal RNA is filed under the name uncultured bacterium. RNAcentral describes it as "partial 16S ribosomal RNA". It matches the Rfam family "Bacterial small subunit ribosomal RNA", at positions 30 to 523 of the family's 1533-position model. The record is from RNAcentral.